UAUUCGAAAGGAGACCGACUUGCUAUCCUGAGAAGAGCAGCGUCCAGCCUACAGGUUUUGGUUCUCCGAAGAGGGCGUGGGUUUCUCCGGGUGCGGGCUGAGCCUCCCUGGGGUGUGGGGAGACGAAGAGAUCCCUGGCCCAAGUCGCCUCGUUCCCGCUCUGAGACUUGGUCCUUUGCUGACUGGAGAGGGAGAGAGACUUGGGGCCCUCCUGGCCCCAGGCAUGGUGAUGUCCUGCUCCAGGGUGGCCUGGACCUCCUUUCCAUCUCUUCCUCUGGUGACUGAGCUCAUAUUAAGUGUCUGAAGAAGACAUUUUCUGAAGAUGUGUGUCAUAAUGGCUGCUGAAGCUUCUAUUCCAGAUCUGAAGAGCAAGCAGUGCUCAGGAGGCCCCCCAACACUUGCAUCUCUGUUGGACACAAAUGUGGCAGUUUCUUACUGCACUUCUGAAAUAGUCCAGUAGAAUGAACAGUAAGGCAUUGGCUAAAUGACAAAGGGAGUCAUCAAAUCUGCAUCCCUAUUACUACAACAUCAGUGGAGCACAGAACCUUCUUUGUUUAACAUCAGAGAAGGGUGUGGAUGCUAUACAGAACCAGGAACUCAUAGAGAGGAAGCAAGUGUGGUGUGGAGUCUACUAGACAGGCUACUGGAAAAGAGUGGACUGACCACAAGGAUACUAUAGAAGCAACAUUUGAACUAUGUCCUGGAUGACAAAAAGAAGCAAGGCAUGGACCAGCCAUUCUGUCAGUGUCUCUGCAAUGUGUAGACACCAGUUGAAUCAGGAUCAGAGUGCAAGCUCAGAGGCUGGAUCCUGGUGGACCAUGUGCAGACUGGUGGGAGGUAAGUGGAGAGCGCAAAUGGAGCCACAGAG
This 868-nucleotide long non-coding RNA is filed under the name Ictidomys tridecemlineatus (thirteen-lined ground squirrel). RNAcentral describes it as "lncRNA (ENSSTOG00000032695.1)". The record is from RNAcentral. Lineage: Eukaryota; Metazoa; Chordata; Mammalia; Rodentia; Sciuridae.